RNAcentral lists this long non-coding RNA (2053 nucleotides) under Capsicum annuum. Its description in RNAcentral is "long non-coding RNA (CANN_LNC009815)". The record is from RNAcentral. Lineage: Eukaryota; Viridiplantae; Streptophyta; Magnoliopsida; Solanales; Solanaceae.
UACCCGAUACCUUUGUAUUUGUACCGUCGGUGUUUAUUUAGAAAUAAGUGGAGAGAAGUGGAGAACUUCAGUCAAGUACAAGGAUGCUUGAUGAGUCCUAUAAGGGUUAACAAAAGACACAUGAAAACCUUAACAUUAAUGGGACCUAGGUAUAAGACAAUCCAUGCAACCAAUGGGUUGCCCCCGUAUGAGGCAAUGAAGUGUGUCAGACUAUACCACCUGCCUUUGGUGCAAUAAUACAGACCCCAGUGGUAGAUAUCUAACAUUAAUUUAAAACAGCAAAUAACUACCAACGUACAACGCAUCAUCUCAGGUGGCAUCGCGGUCGGCCCCUUAAAUCUUUCUCUUAUCUUCACACCCAUCCAUUGACUCUUCAUCGGCAAUACUCUUAACACAUUGAAGGGAUUAGCUCCAAGAUCAAGGACAAGGAGGUGGAAGAAAUUAAGGGGAAAACAACUAAAAGAAAGUAUUUCUGAGAACCAAAAUUGUAUCUUAAUCAAUUUAAAGAUUAUGAUGAUAGAUAGUAAGGUAGCAAGACUGAGAUUGCUUUUAUAGGCCAAAGCGCAUUAAGUAUUCCUAACAAAUCACCACAGAAUGACCAAUCAGUAAUAGCCAUGUCUCAUCAGUGGUGAAAGCUAAAAGGUGUGGCCUGAUGACUGAUAGAAAUUGAAGCGCAUAGGACCGCCCUUUCCAAUACCUAUUGAAACUGCAUAAAAACUAAGAACUAUCUUCUCAGGUCUCCUCGCAGUUUGAAUUAAGCUAAAAAAUGACAAAAGAGGAAAAGAAGAGAGGAAGUGAUAAAAGUUUUCUCUUAAUUACAUGACGACAAAAUCCCUGAAGGAAACGUCCAAGGAGCAAUCAAUGAAAAAGUAAAUAUACAAAGAUGGCAUAAGAACGAAGGCCCCCACUAUUCAUUGUAUAUCUUCCCAUUUGAUAGGUCUUCAUUAGAUGCAAACAUAGGGUACCCAAGAUGCACAAAAGCUUGAGCAAAACCAAUUAGGCAUUGUGACUUAAAGAUCUCUUUAUUAAUAUUCAAGCCUCCAUCUUCUCUGUUAUCUUAAAGGUUUGAAUCCUGGCUUUCUAAACAGUGAGAUCCUUGUUUAAGUCAUAUGUGUACCUUUGUCGAUGAAACUUUUGGUUCUUAAAAUUUGUUUUGCUUUUCAAUCGACAAACGUCACAGUGAAGGAAAUUCAAUAGGGACAAGGAGAAAUAAUUUCUAUAUCUCUUGACUCAAGUUUUCAAACACUUUUGGAGAUACAGAACUCUUCAUUGGCAAGGGCCUCAAUAUUGUUUCCUUGGGAGGCUUUAAGCCCCUAAUAAUAAAUGGCCUCUUCAGACAGGCACACAAACUUAUGGUCAUAGUCGCCUAUCUCAUCUUGGUCGCAGAUAAUUCAUCUUUUAGGCUCCUGAUCUCAGAGUAUUGAAGGGCUAGAAAGUUAGCAGUUGCUAAAGAAUCAUAACACAUAGAGAGCUUCUCUAGCAAAUCCUCAACCUCGGCUGAAAGUAUGACCUUCUCUCUUAGAUAAUAUUAAAAAUAGUUGGAGGACAAUAAUGGGCCUGUGAUAUAUGGAAAGUCCACUUAGUAAGGAAGCUUAUAGGAAAGAUGCGAACUUAAAAGGACUCAAAGGGUGCAUAAAUAUGUAAUGCCAUGAACAUUGUUGUUCAGGUGGCAUUGGGGGCCUACCCGAUUAAUCUAAUUCUAAUCACAUUAUACUAAGAUGGGAUAUAGAUAGUUGGCCACUCCCACUGGUGUCAAUAAAAGGUCGACCUUUGAAGAAAUCCUCAAGUUAAUAUCGUUCUACAAAGAAAAAUAUAAGAUAAGGAAAGAAAAAUUACUCGACAAGCCCCGAGGAUCCUCAUACGCUGGAGGCUUCUUUGGCAUAACAUUAUCUAGGGAGUGAAGAGUAAGUAAAAGAAGGAAAUGAUUGAACAGGAGAUCUACUGAUGGGAGGUGAAUGUCCUAAGGAGGGUAUAUCUUCUAGUCCAAUUGAGAUCUACCUGGCCCCAAACUCGACGAUAAACCCACUACAUGAUAGGAACUUGUUAAAAGAGC